GAUGAAAUGGUUUGAACCUUGCAAGGGUUUGUUCUGUUUAACCAUCUUUAUUCAUAAAUGAUCUUCUUAUCUGUUCCUGCUGCAACAUCACAUCAAGAAGUGUUGUGUACAUCUUAGACUGAUCUGAGCUCAACAGCAAACCUGUCAUUCAGUAUUCGUUAUCUGUCAUUUGACUUGUUUACAUAUAUGACAUUUUCUUUAUUUCUAUUGAGAUAGUGUUGAUGUGCACCUACAACUUUAAACAGAGCAGCAGUGUGACAUCUACAAAACAGAUGUUCUCUAUCUCACGCUUGUCCCCUCUUCCGGUCCAUGGACGAAAAGAUUAUUAGGUUUGAUCAGCCCGCUGUCUUAAAGAUGGAUGUCUACCGCCUGUUCAGUGGAGUAGUUGCUGUUUUUUCGCUGCUCUUAUUCAAGCAACAGUUAAAUAUCAGCCAAGUUUUACUGCUACUGAAUGCAAGAAAGAGGAAAAGAUUAAAUGAUUUUGCAGUUCAGGUUAGAUUUGCAAAGUUCCUGUGAGAAAGCACGCAGAGAAACUCUUUAUUCAUGUCUUUUCAUGAUUUGGAAGGAUUGAGAAGGAACAGAACCUGCAUGUCAUAAUUUUCUUUCUUCUCAGCUGUUUUUCUUCUUUCUCUCUUCUGUGUACCACACAGACAUUACCCCAUACCCCCCCCCCCCCCCCACACACAAAAACUCUUCAGUUAGACCAGUAGCUGUCGUCUGGGACAUUUUGGACAAUGGACAUUUGUUGAAAAGCCUCUGGUGGAAAAGUUUACAUCAGAAUAAUAGCAGGACAUUGAACGUCUUUGUUUGAAUGAAUAUCAGAUUCUCAUAACAGUUUGUGUACAGUAAUGUUUUUUGGAUAGUGUUAAAUUUUUAAUAACUUAAUUUAAUCCUUCUUUCUCUAUCUACCCCUCCUCCCCUCCCUUCUCUCCCUUCUCUCUUUCAUUGCCCUGCCCCUCCCUUUUUCUGCCCAUCUCAUCCCCUAUUCUGGAUUUAAACCCAGGACCAUUUCACUCAAAGGCUGGAGUUUAAACCAGUACACCACAGGCCAGCCUGCUGAUGGCAGCCUUUUCAAGUCUUUUCACUGGACCGUCUCAUUAUGACUAUUUAAAAUCUACUUGAGUCUACAAGGUGGGAGAUGCAUUUCACAUUUGCCCCAGUUGAAAGUCCCCGCACUGGGAAGAUUUGAAAAUAGGACCAUCUGACUCAUGGGUUGGAUCCCUUUGCCAUAUUUUACCUUCAAUCAUUUUUUAUAUGCUAAACUCAGAUUUCCAUGUGAG
Non-coding RNA from Xyrichtys novacula (pearly razorfish), 1280 nucleotides. Lineage: Eukaryota; Metazoa; Chordata; Actinopteri; Labriformes; Labridae. The record is from the annotation of a GenBank genome assembly.